UACGGGGGAUGCGAGCGUUAUCCGGAUUUAUUGGGUUUAAAGGGUGCGUAGGCGGCUUUUUAAGUCAGCGGUGAAAUUUUGCAGCUUAACUGUAACAGUGCCGUUGAUACUGGGGAGCUAGGAUUUGGUUGCUGUGGGUGGAAUGUGUGGUGUAGCGGUGAAAUGCUUAGAGAUCACACAGAAUAUCGAUUGCGAAGGCAGCUCACAAAGCCAAGAUUGACGCUGAGGCACGAAAGUGUGGGGAUCAAACAGGAUUAGA
This 259-nucleotide ribosomal RNA is filed under the name uncultured prokaryote. RNAcentral describes it as "partial 16S ribosomal RNA". It matches the Rfam family "Bacterial small subunit ribosomal RNA", at positions 524 to 782 of the family's 1533-position model. The record is from RNAcentral.